UACAGAGGGUGCGAGCGUUAAUCGGAAUUACUGGGCGUAAAGCGCACGUAGGUGGCGACGUAAGUCGGGUGUGAAAGCCCCGGGCUCAACCUGGGAAUUGCAUUCGAGACUGCAUUGCUGGAGUACGGAAGAGGAAGGCGGAAUUCCCGGUGUAGCGGUGAAAUGCGUAGAUAUCGGGAGGAACAUCAGUGGCGAAGGCGGCCUUCUGGUCCAGUACCGACGUUCAGGCACGAAAGCGUGGGGAGCAAACAGG
Molecule: ribosomal RNA, 253 nt
Filed under: uncultured bacterium
Lineage: Bacteria
Description: partial 16S ribosomal RNA
Rfam family: Bacterial small subunit ribosomal RNA
Source: RNAcentral